Molecule: long non-coding RNA, 199 nt
Filed under: Elaeis guineensis (African oil palm)
Lineage: Eukaryota; Viridiplantae; Streptophyta; Magnoliopsida; Arecales; Arecaceae
Description: long non-coding RNA (EGUI_LNC015950)
Source: RNAcentral
CAGUGAUAAGGUCUUAGCUAGUGAAUGGGUCUAUUAUAUUGUUCUUGGUAUCAACUCACUCCAUGAUCACAUCGCAUCUUUCAAUUAUCUUUCAAAUGAAGUGGAACCAUCUUAGGAUGUGCAUGGAUUUAUGAUGAGAUCUCGAUUCUUUGGCUUGAGCAACUGUCUCAGUAUUGUCACAAUAUAGGGGCACCAGUUG